Molecule: ribosomal RNA, 242 nt
Filed under: uncultured bacterium
Lineage: Bacteria
Description: partial 16S ribosomal RNA
Rfam family: Bacterial small subunit ribosomal RNA
Source: RNAcentral
CGUGAGUAACCUGCCUUUCANAGGGGGAGUAACGUUCUGAAAAGAACGCUAAUACCGCAUAACAUCAAUUUAUCGCAUGAUAGGUUGAUCAAAGGAGCAAUCCGCUGGAAGAUGGACUCGCGUCCGAUUAGCCAGUUGGCGGGGUAACGGCCCACCAAAGCGACGAUCGGUAGCCGGACUGAGAGGUUGAACGGCCACAUUGGGACUGAGACACGGCCCAAACUCCUACGGGAGGCAGCAUG